UACGUAGGUCCCGAGCGUUGUCCGGAUUUAUUGGGCGUAAAGCGAGCGCAGGUGGUUUAUUAAGUCUGGUGUAAAAGGCAGUGGCUCAACCAUUGUAUGCAUUGGAAACUGGUAGACUUGAGUGCAGGAGAGGAGAGUGGAAUUCCCUGUGUAGCGGUGAAAUGCGUAGAUAUAUGGAGGAACACCGGUGGCGAAAGCGGCUCUCUGGCCUGUAACUGACACUGAGGCUCGAAAGCGUGGGGAGCAAACAGG
This 252-nucleotide ribosomal RNA is filed under the name uncultured bacterium. RNAcentral describes it as "partial 16S ribosomal RNA". It matches the Rfam family "Bacterial small subunit ribosomal RNA", at positions 524 to 776 of the family's 1533-position model. The record is from RNAcentral.